UUUUUUCAAAGAUGUUUAAAAUUACAGAGUCGACAAAGGAUAUUUUCGAUUUAUAGUAUAUAACUCUGAAACAUAAUAUGCUACUUGCCUUCCAAACGAAUUUACACACAUAUAAAUAGGGGAUUGCCUAUGGCAGUUUUACAAGGGGCAGUUGGGGCGGUUAUGGACUUGUGUCAUGCUGCUGACAGACCUACAAACAAGGAUAACAACCUGUUUGAAUUCAAAUUCAAACACUUCCUACGAACUAGGACUUGUCUUCAGCCUUAAAGUCAACUGUACAUGUACUUUGCACAUGCCUUGCACACUUUUUUCAUCACAUGCCAUGCACACUUGCUUUCCAGCUUUUUCCCACGCAUUGCCUACUGCAUUGCCUUGUCUUGGACCAUGCUCGCCCAUAAAUUCAUAGUCACACCUUGUCAUAAACUUAGUCGUCUCACUGAUCCAUGCAUGCCUUUGUCAAGUGCCAUCCAUGCCUUCGUUGCCAUUGUUGAUACCCACGAACCAAGGUUGCCUUGCCAACACUCAAGGCACCUUGCCUAGCCGACUUGUCUAAGUCCAUCACCAACUUAGACACACACCUGGCCUUACACAUUGCUUAUCAAUACUUCAACAAAUCCAUGUCAAGGGGCAAUGUACAAGCCCUUGACAUGAAUUCCGCCCGACCUUCGUCAAGUCUCAUUGUUAUGGGCUAACACCUACCAACAUUAACAAACAAUAAAUACACAGUUGGAAUAGGGAAGCAGCAGUCAAUUUUCCAUAAUUCAGUUACUUCCUAAUAAUUUUCUUUCUUUUUCUCUCUCGAUCCUAAUCUUCUUCUCUUCUUAAUUCUUAGGUCAUUUCCAUGGAAUAUCUAGCUAGGUCUACUGUAAUUAGCUAGAUCUGUUGAAAAUUUCAUUGAUGAACAAUUGCUUCCAUGAUCAAUAAAGCUUUCUUCUUUCUAUUUUGUCUCAAUUACUAUUAUCCAUACUAGUUCAUUACAGAUUAUGUCUUUUUUGUUGCUCUAUUGUUUCAAUGUAGGUGGUUUUGUAUUCAGUUCUGUCAGGCUUGAAGAUAUGAUUAUUGGUUUUAUCCAUUUGGCGAAUCAACUUUAGAAUAUCACUGUUCGUCUUCAGAUGGUUUUUUUUUUCGUUCUCUCAAUUCCAUUUAUUUACUUUAUCUCAGUAGCAGUAGAAUUUGGGAUUUUCAGUUGCAGUUUAGUUAUUGCUGAAUCAGUAAUGAAACUCUUAUAGACAAUCUAGCUUGAAAUUUAUUCUCUUUCUUAAAGAGUGUUGACAUUCAACAAAGACUAUUCUUUCGUAGAUGCUUCCUUCCAAAACUUGAAGAAAAUAAUCGAGUAAAUUUUAUAUAUAUGCAAAUGUGCAUGUUUUGAACAGUACUGGACCUGGUGCCCAAUGGCGAAACCAGAAUUUUUAUCAAUGGGUGUCAAAAUAUACAAUUUGAUACACCGAAAAGUCAAGGAGGAUUAACGUAUAAUAAAUAUACAUAAAUAAAAAAAAACUUAUCUAGCAAUACAGUAUAAUUUUUCGACAAAAAGGUAUUGAUUGAUACCCUUGAUUGAAUAUGGCUCCGUCAUUGCUGCCUGGUGGUGUAAUUUCAGACCCAUAUCAAGAGAAGUUAUUCAUUUUGUAAAAAC
This 1633-nucleotide long non-coding RNA is filed under the name Nicotiana benthamiana. RNAcentral's name for it is "long non-coding RNA (NBEN_LNC025945)". Lineage: Eukaryota; Viridiplantae; Streptophyta; Magnoliopsida; Solanales; Solanaceae. The record is from RNAcentral.